Molecule: ribosomal RNA, 760 nt
Filed under: Eulecanium kuwanai
Lineage: Eukaryota; Metazoa; Arthropoda; Insecta; Hemiptera; Coccidae
Description: partial large subunit ribosomal RNA
Rfam family: Eukaryotic large subunit ribosomal RNA
Source: RNAcentral
GAGUACGUGAAACCGUUCAGGGGUAAACCUGAGAAACCCAAAAGAUCGAAUGGGGAGAUUCAUCGUCAGCGGCGUCGGCUUCCGUGCGGCUCGCGAUGCUCGUUGCCUCGGUGACGUGGCACGCGUCCGCUGCGGCAUGUCCGAUGCUCGUCGGCGUGCACUUCUCCCCUAGUAGGACGUCGCGACCCGUUGGGUGUCGGCCUACGGCCCGAUUGGUCGACUGUCGAGUUAACGCUCGGCAGACCAUCGGUUGCCCGGCCGGCUGCUCGGCGGUAUUGAACGCAUAAUUUAAACGGUAUUGGGCCGCAUUCAAUGCGUUCUGGCUCGUCGGCAGGCUCGUCUCGCUCGGUUAUACGGACCUAGCGCCGUUGCCAGGCGCUUGGCGGGCCGUUAGUCGACGAUGUCCUCGAACCGGCUCUCAUAUUUAUAAUAUAAUACCUGUCUGCGACGCUUUUGCUUUGGGUACUUUCAGGACCCGUCUUGAAACACGGACCAAGGAGUCUAACAUGUGCGCGAGUCAUUGGGAUUUGUUUUAAGCCUAAAGGCGCAAUGAAAGUGAAGGUACGGUUGCCUCGCGCACCGGCCAAGGGAGGAUGGCUCGCGUCACGAUGCGAGCCCGCACUCCCGGGGCGUCUCGUGCUCAUUGCGAGCAGAGGCGCACCCAGAGCGUACACGUUGGGACCCGAAAGAUGGUGAACUAUGCCUGGUCAGGACGAAGUCAGGGGAAACCCUGAUGGAGGUCCGUAGCGAUUCUGACGUG